CAGGCUUCUUCCCAAUUGCUUAAACUGGGAAAUAUACUGCGAUGAUCAUUCUUCACUUUCAUCUACAACAGCAGUUCAAAUAUGAAUUAUUUCAUAUAUACUUCACGAUGUUUGUUUUAAUUCACACAAUGUUGCUUUAAGUCAUUCAUUCCCGAAAAUAUGUUUUGCGGUUUCGAUGCUAGAAAAGACAAUUGACGAGACUGGCAAAUGUGUACUUCUCUCGUUCCAGCUGUUAUCAACGUCCACGAUAUUCACACAAACUAGAAUAAUUACAUACACGAUUUGUUUUCAUUCAUUCCAUCGUAAAUAAAAUAUUUCAUCCUUUCGGAACGAAAAAGCCCUUCAAAUUUGAGGCAACUUUUGUUUUGUGUGACUCUGGUGGAAAAAGGAAAUAUCAAGGCAUCAAAUAUCUCUUGUAAAUGUAAAAUCAUUGGCCUUAACAUCUACGAGAGAUGCUAUGUAAACACUGCAAUGGACAUCAUAAUUUUCAUUCAAUGGGCUACUUUUAUUGCUUGAACUGAAUGGAACUGAUCACCAUUUAAUAGCCUUUAACUUUUAUUCUUUGGUGGUUUACCUUCGAAAACAUAAGAAGGUUUUUUCCUCCUCGUGUAAUUUACAGACUUACAACUUUCCCCAGUUAGGUCUCAUAUCAGGCGCUGGGUUAAUUGAAAUCGUCUAGCUUUCAAUCUGUUGUUCAUUUUGUCAUGAUUUGCAUAAUUCCUGAAUUAGUACUUGUAUGUCAUUAUUUCCAUCUGAUACAGCGAAAUUUUUGCUGAGUAUGAAUGCCAUGAUAACUUGUGCAGUGUAAUGCCUUUCAAAUUAUUUAGUAUCAAAGUAAGUUACAGUGAUACUCAGGACACUCAACGGAAGACGUGAAAGAAGUGUACACUUUGAAAUAAUAUGCAUGUCACAACACUAGCUGUCACAUUUGGAUGAGCAAGUUCAAAGUUUCAGGCUAAUUGCAAUGGUUUGUCAUCUUGUCAACAUCAAGGCACCUUAUUUCGGUGGUAGCGGUACAAAGCAGUUUCUUUGAGCAGUAAAAUUUUCAACUGCACUUGUUUAUUUGCUGUGUUUUGAUUUGAAUUUUGAUUUACAAAUCAUGCAUUUGUUUUGAACUGAAGUCGUGCUUUGUUCGCCAUAACAAUACAUCACAAAAGGAAUAUUGGUUAUGAAUAACAAAGGCUAACACGUUGGCAAAAACAUGUGGCCCUAACUCUUUGGCAAAAAUAUGUGGGCCAUUUUUUCGUGUAAGGGGUUCAUUAAGAAUGCACGUUCAAUGUCUGUUUAGUUCUGAGCGGUACUGUAGGUUAUUUGAGGAAGAAUCAAAACACCCCUGACAGAUGACAAGAGUUUUUUGUGUUCGAUCAGCAGGCAAAAGAAAAUUUAGAAGUUAGAAGAAAUGAAGGAAAAGGAACGGAAACGGAAAGAUUUGUAUGUGUAGUUGGGCAGUAAGUUGACCUGUAAAUGUUUGGUUGAGAUAAAUUACAGCUAGGUUGUGGUUUACCUCUGUUGCGAGUAAAUUAUUGGAAGAGGUUUUACCCCACAGGAUCUAACUGACCUGUGAAAAAAAACCAAAGGGAAAGUCAUUGACAGUAACUCUAUAAAAUUCUAAGCAGUGAUUAAAGUGUUUAUCUCCAGAAGUACAUGCCAGGCCUCUAAUGUUAUCUGAGGUCAUGCUGGCUUGACAGUGUCAUAAAUCUGAACAUAGAGCCCCACCCAUGAAGUUAUCUGAGGUGGUGGCUAACACAACAUGGGAAUCACUUCAGACAGCUGGAGCUGCUGUUGUGUUCCUUUAGGUCUUAUAAGUAGUUUGACCUUUAAAUAUUGUGUUGUUUGGUUGAGGCAUGCCACUGUCAGCUUCAUGGUUUUGCUCUGUUCUGAGGUAUCGCAGGAGGUUUCACCCCACAGGUUCUAACUGACCUGUGAAAAAACUAAAACCAGAGGGUAAGUCAGUGAAAGGGGAGGUUUGUUGUACAUAGUUCUUACUAACAAUAAAAUGAUUGUUCAUCAUUUGGAGUACCAACCAGACCUGUGAAGUUAUCUGAAGUCAUGGUGGCUUGACAAUGCCAGAAAUUCAAAUGUCGAGCCCCACCCAUGAGGUCAUCUGAGGUGGUGGCUAACAGAACAUGGGAAUCACUUCAGGAAACUGAAGCUGACUGUUGUGUUCCUUUAGGUCUUAUAAGUACAUGUACUUUGACCUUUAAACAUUGUGUUGUUUGGUUUAGGCAUGCCAUUGUCAGCUUCACAGUUUUGCUCUGUUGCAAGUAAUCGCAGGAGGUUUCACCCGGCAGGUUCUAAAUGACCUGUGAAAAAACUUAAACCUGAUGAGAAGCCAGUGAAAGGUUCUAACUGACCUGUGAAAAAACUUAAACCAGAUGAGAAGCCAGUCAAAGCUUCAAGACCCAUUCACAUACCUGGCUUGACCUUAUCUUGGGCCAUUUCCAUAAGCUCCAUUUGGAAGAUAUGGGCUACACUAGUCGUAAUAUGGUCAGUUGAAAAGGACUAUGGAACCAGGCCACAUAAUUGUUGUGCAGUUGUGUUGGAUCAGUGGGUCUGUUUUAAGUGCCAAGUUUGCAGGAUUUACAGCUUCUCAUCAUGAUCUUCUUCAAACAACUUCGUCUGUAGUCUGUAGUCUUCUCGGGAAAGUGCCAUCUCACUUGAGAAUACCGUGGUUUCCAGGAAAAUUAGACAUUCUGAAGAAAAUGGUCAAUUGACUAGAAACAUGUCAGUGUUGAGGUUGCUGAAUUAAAGAUUUUAAAUCACUGAAAUUUGUUGUGUCUUUGCAUUAUCAGCUCAAUAAGAAGGGAAUUCGUUAUAAAAAACGAAUGCAUGCCACCCCUAUGACUCCCGAAAAGGUAAAACUUCAGGGAAAGAGUAAAACUGGAACAAUACAUUGCCAACAUAGCAAAUCGUAAUUCAGAAAUGAAGGGACGAGGAUAAAUUUAUAACUGAGAAAAUGACCCGAAUUGAUAAAAAAAAUCUCUUAGUUAUUGAGAUGUUGGAGUUAUCGAGGAGCGCUUUCCAUUCGACUAAAAAUUCCGAAAUUUUCGAUACGGAGUCAAAUGGUAUGGGAAUUUCCCGGGAAAAUGUCCAGAAAAUCGAGUAAUUUUGGAAUUUCCGAAAAGCGAACUAUUCAACCGAAAAUUCCGGGAUGAAAAUCAAAUGGAAAGGAAAUUUCCAGGAAAAAUGUUCGAAAAUUUGGGCAUACCUCAGAAGGUUGUCCUCUUUUUCGGAAAUCAGGUAAAUUGGCAAUUUUCUAUUCAGCGCUAGUUCUUUUGGCCGCGAUCACGUCAGCGUUUUGGACAUCUCACGCAAGGAUGACGGCGACGCGUAUUCGAAAAUGGAUUAAUACUUUACUUUAGAAUCUUGCCACUUGCCUGUCAAUAGAUGAUAGCGACAGCUAAAUUGUCAAGAAAGCGUUUAAUUCCAAUUAAAUAAAAUAUGCAUAGGUUGACCCUGAAAUGUACAAAGAUUUAUAACGCGUGCAAAGCCAUUGUGCCACUCAUUAAGCCCUCUAAACCAUUAAACCCGGAAAUUAACACCGGAAUAUUUGGUCGAAUGGAAAGCGCCCGAGGGUUCUUGUUUCCAAGGGUAAAAUAGCAAGAAAUGUCAGAAGCAAACGCAGGGAAAUCUGUUUUGGUUCGAGUUAGCGCUAGAUUCGAGUUACCGGGGCUAGGGUUAUUGGGUCUCAACUCUAAAUACCAUCCUAGUUUCAACGGGCAGGUUGCACACCUUGUGUGUAUUUUUACCAGGGAUGAAGAAAAUUUGGAUUGAAUUCUCUUUAACAAUUCAGUCAGAGUCCGUAUGUGUAAUGCGCAUGCGUAGCUGCAAAAGUAUGUGCCUUCAUUUACCAUAAAGAUUGAAAAUUCUUUAAGUGAUUUUAUUAACUGCGCUUGCGUAUUUGUGAAAGUAUCUUCCAGCAUCUACCAUAUGGAUAGAAAGCUCUAGUAGAUAAGGAAGUAAUUGAAACCUUUUGGGUGGGUGUUGAAAUUCAGCCCAAAAUAACGAUGUGCUCUCUCUUGCAUAAAAGUUUCCAGAAAAUCCGGAAAUGGUUGAAUUUCCGAAAAUCAAACCAUUCAACCCAGAAUUCAGGAAGAUCUUGGAGAAAAAGCGAAAUACUUUUUAUAGAAAAAGAAAUACAAAAGUCAAGUAAAGAAAAGAAAAGAAAAAGUCAAAUACCGGAAAAUACUGUUCAAUUCGUCACUUGAAACCGGAGAAUGUCGUCGAUGUAAUGCACCCAAAGAAACAGUGUUAUUGAUUCUGUAUUUAAAUUGCGCAUGCGCUUUUGGCAAACGUGAACCACAAAGACAAGACACUUUAUUACUAUAUAGGAAAUUGCUCUCCCUGGGCGUGGUGGUGGGGGUAGCGUUACAUUACAUUGUACAAUCAUACAUUGUACAUUAUCUUUUACUCUAUACACUACCAAAAAAAUUCUCUUUUUGGACAAAAAAAUACCCUUUUUUGGACAGUUUAACCUUGUCCAUCCCAAACCCCCUCCACCACCCUAACAUUUCAAUUUACUGUCUAUUCUCACUAGUUCAUCAUCCUUGUGGGACAUCUACGUUUAAUAGUACGCAUGCGCGUUGUUGCUUUUCCACAUUAAAGACCCCUGGUUUUCGGCUCUACCUUGAAAGGAAAAAGUUCAAUCCUUGAAAAAGUAAAAAAUCUGGGGUAGAUCCUCCACCAUCCCCCUCCAACACCCCCCAGAAGAAAUCAAUUACUUCUAUACCAAGAAGAGUUUUCUACCCAAGUGGUAGAUGGCCAAAGAUCCUUUCACAAUACGCUUGCGCAGUAAGUGAAAAGACUAUAACAAAUGCCUUUUAGACUUGUCCAUCCUUAUGGUAGAUAACGGAAGGUAUCCUUUAACAGACACGCAUGCGCAAUAGACUUAUGGAGCUGAAAAGUCCCAAUAGACUUUUCUAUCUUUGUGGUAGAUGGCAAUGGAUCCUCUUCCAGAUACGCAUGCGGAUAAGACAUAAGAAAGCUGCAGUGUUUUUCGAGCAAAUUGGUAGUGGUAGAUGGUGGAACACGAUGUCUAAAGGUAUAUUUUGUAACGUUUCGCUAAUUACACUGGAGUAUGUUCACUGUGUAUGAUUCGUGUUAACUGCAGAAGUAUUUUAGGCGUGAAUCCCUAAGGGGCUAGUAGGCUAUUUAAGAAUUUGUAAGUUAUGCAAGAGCCACUCGAAGGCAUC
Long non-coding RNA from Orbicella faveolata, 5192 nucleotides. The record is from RefSeq and is a predicted model, not a curated record. Lineage: Eukaryota; Metazoa; Cnidaria; Anthozoa; Scleractinia; Merulinidae.